UCAGCAGAUGCCUGUCACCAUGGACUAAG
Molecule: non-coding RNA, 29 nt
Filed under: Homo sapiens (human)
Lineage: Eukaryota; Metazoa; Chordata; Mammalia; Primates; Hominidae
Source: RNAcentral